UUGUAGCAUACACCUGGGCGCCGCUGGUUGACCAUAUCUGUUGAGCUCACUGCCCGGUGGUGACUCUACCGUUUGGUCAGUCAACUGGAUGACACGCGAACGGAUAUGCAACAGGACGCGUUGGCGUCAUCAUCCCAAAGCGGUGCUACUAACGCAACUCUACCACCAGCAGACCACCCCCUCUCCGCUCUCGCCGUCACUCUGCCUUAGCUACGUGAACUCUGACAUUUCUAUGCUGGGAGCUUUGCCCGGGCUCGUCUACGCACAGUUGACGUUGUUGCUGCGCCACGUGCUGCUCUUGAAGCGCAUCGUCUCCGUACACAUUCCGCCCGCGCACAGCGAUGCGCUCGUGUAAUUGCAAAGCUGCAUUGCAGCUCGUCGCGUCGUUUUAAAUUUGGUUGCAAUAGCAGAUAUGAAAUUCUGUUGCCGUUUUUAGCUGCAAUGUGGGACGAAACAUUGCAGGAAGCGUUUAAUACGCGUAUGUAUGUGUAAGUGUGUAAGUGCAUGUGUGCCGUUGAUACAACUGUGAUUACGUAACAGCAAUUGUGUGAAGGAAAUUUCACAGGAGAUGAUAAAUUUUAUCAAAUGGAACGUGCUACGAAUAGAUCUUUACGGAACAACCUGUGACACAGCUUAGUUUUAUCUGUUCUUCAAACGGGUAAUUACUGUUCGAACUUCUUCAUGCUCGGGCAAUGGAACGUCCGCUCCAGCGUCAUCGAUUGGAAAAUCGGGUUCACCAUCUUCUGGUGUUAAGCUUUCACUGCCAUUUACCAGGCUUUGGCCAGGAAGAUGCAGGGAAUUUUAUGUUAUGAAGUAAAGCGCAGAAAAUAAUGUUUGGAAAUGGGUUUUAUGAGAACUUCUUUCUAUUCCUGCCACGGGGAAACCAUAUUGACCGGCAUGGUUUAUAGCUGCACCAUCAGCCAAUUGCAAAAUUAAUGACUAUGCUACUGCUAUUGCCAUAAAAACGACCGUCUCAGAGGUUUGCUUUCUUUUCGUUCCAUUUAAUUGGACACCUACACAAUUUUCUGACAAAGUAAGAUGGUAAGCUUACAGUGGGCUAGUUUUAAACUGGCGUUCCAUGAAUAAAAAUGAAUUUAGUGAGAAUAUCUGAAAAAAAAAUCAUGUGAAUAUUGUAAACUCUAUAAAUUUUGGGAAGAAAUUUUUGGGAUUUUUUUCCUUUUUUUCUCAAAAUUUUCAAUAUUCACAUGAUUUUUUCAGAUAUUCUCAUGUUCUAAAACCGUGAGUGAAUGGAUAGUAUCUCACAUAUCACCUAUGGAUACAUGAUAUACUCUUAUACGAUGUUUAUGGUAGUCAUCGUUUCUUAGUCGGAAAAAUAUGUCUCAAUUUCAUAUAUGUAUGUAUAUUUUUUUUUAUUUUUUCGUUCUCUCCCAAAAAGCGACGUUUAUGAUUUCGAGCCGAAGAAAAGUUGAUGUUAUCAGUUAGCGAAUAAUAUCAAAAUUCAUCCCUUCUAAUUUCAUUUUAUUGUUGGCACCUUAUCUCAAGCACUUUCCUCGUACCAGUUUAGUCACCUUGACGUCAAUACUAACAAUAAAAACCAUAUAGUUGCUCGUUUAUUUGAUGUGCACAUUCUUACUUUCUGCUCUCCUCCAUUCAAGCAUCCUACAUUACUAUCUUGCCACCUUUUUGUUAACGUUGUUGCCAUUUUAGUUAAUGAUGAUGAACACAAAUUAUUGUUACAAGCUUUUUGCUUUUCUCAUUGUCUCAGCGUGGCACUUUUCUUUUAUUCCUGUUAUCUGUCAAAUCAAAUGACCAUGAGAAUUUGGACUUCCCCUGCUCCACAGUCUCCAUAGACCACUUACACAUAUACAUAUAUAUAAUAUUCAUAAGUACAUAAAUAUUACAUAGGUGGCAUCAUACAUAUUUACAUUUGUCUUUCUCACUUCCAAGCGCAAAGUGUAAUAUUUGUAUUUAUUCGUUCAUGUAACUUUUUUGCUCCUGCCAGCUGUUUUAUUUACUUUUUAUUGUAUUUUUUUCUCGCUCCCUCCACCAAUAUUUGCCGCCUUCAACAUCAGAGCUGUCAAUUUUAGCAUUUUUACUUGAAAAGUGUUUUAAAUAAAUGAUGCUGUCAGGGCAACAAUCAUCAACAUGGUGUUAAGCGGAAGCGAAAGGAUACGGAAACGGCGACUGUUACCGGCGCGCUGCAACACUGAUGCUGACAUUGUUAGUUGUAUUUUUUUCAUCUGUCUCUUUAACAAACAGCUGCUGCUCUUAUACUACAAGUACAUAUGUAUAACUUAGUAUCUGCAUAAGUAAAUAUGUAGAUAAAUAAAAAAAAUAUUCCCUGAAGUACCCGAAAGGAAAAUGCGCUGUUCGAUGUAAGCAACAGAUGAGUUUAAGGUUAGGAUUUACUAGAACGUUUGCUAAACACCUCUUGUAUACACUUACAAUACUACACAAAACAAUUACAAUUUGGAAAGCAUGAAUUUAAGUCAAACUUCGGUUAGGUUAAGUUAAUGGCAGAUCCAGAGAUCGUAAUUGUACCACUGUAUGCAGUCCUUUGUGAAGCCAUAAAAAUAGCACUCCUGUAAUUUGAACUUAUAAGUCAGCGCCUUGUAGGCAUGAGCUCCCAAGUGUUUAAGUCUUAAUCUCGCAAAUGUGGGACAAUCAAGAAGGAAGUGCCUAAGUAUUUCCUCCUCGACUUCUACCAUACAGCUUCUGCAGCUGGCGACCGAUAAGAUUAUCUACCUAACUGCAUGAACCUUACUGCCAAUGAUCAAUCAGAACCGCCCAAAACUAGGGAGAUACCAGCCUUACUGAAGGCAAAGAGCUCACUGGAUCUCUUGGGAUCCAUCUUAUGAUAAAAAUAUGUUGCGACCGCAUAUGAACCUAUGACAGCCAAGUUUUCGUGAAACGCAGCUAUCCAGGAGUAGAACACAUGAGGAGAAGCACUAACUCAUUUUCAUACAACUGAUAGCGGGGUUAGGAUACCCUUCAUUACCAACUCAUCAGCUUUACAGUUGACAGCGAUUGAGCUGGGGCCUAGCAUGCAGUCUUAUCACAAAGUGACUCGAUUUCAUUGAUAACGAGGUCAGGCUUUCCUUAACAUGCCUGCCGCAAGGGUAGUAAGCACAAGGCAUUGUCACUCUGCUAUCAAAGUGGAUAGUCACUUCUCUGAAGAAAGCUCCACUCCAGAGCAUUAGAUCUUCUACUUAUAAAUUCCUUCAUUAAACUUUCCUUCAAGCUUUGGCUCAUCCGUAAAUAAACUCACUGCCCAUCUCCUCCAAUGACUUCUACCCCUCCACAACUCCUUCAAACAGAGAAAUACCCGACAGAGUUUCUCUCCAUGAUCCAAAAGAUGCGGAAUUUGAUCAAAAAAUCAAAAAAUGUGACGAUUUCCGAAAAUUCAGACAUGUGUUCAUUUAGAAACCCAGAUUCACGGAGUCUAAUAGCAACUUUUGCGGCCAUACACCUUCCGACGAUAUCUAUGGGCAUUAUAUGCAAAAUGGCUCAAUUUCGUGCCACUGGGUUAAGUCCUACUCUAUUAGAAUCCCCCAAGGUGAUCUAGUAACCGAUUCCCAGAGCCUACUAAAAUUAUGGAGGGAAGACUUCUCCAGCCUGCUAAAUGCCAGUGAAGGUAUAACAUCAGGAGAUGGCGAACCUGAUUCUCCAAUCGAUGACGAUGGAGCAGUCGUUCCAUUAUACCGACCAUUAAGAAGUCUGAAUAGCAAUUAGUCGUCUGAGAAACAACAAAGCGGCGAGGGCAGAUGGAUUGCCAGCCGAGCUAUUCAAACACGGUGGCGAAGAAGGAGCAUGCAUCAGCUUCUUUGUAGAAUAUGGUCGGAUGAAAGCACCCCCGACGAUUGGAAUUUAAGUGUGCUUUGCCAAUCCAUAAAAAGAGAGACCGCACAAUCUGCGCCAACUACCUGACAUAAGCCUCCUCAUCAUCGCGUACAGGGUUCUAUCGAGCGUAUUGUGUGAAAGAUUAAGGGCCACCGGCUUUAGACCUGGAAAAUCAACAGAUAUUCAAGUCUUGGAAAAUACCCGUGGAAAGAGAAUCGACACGCACCACCUCUUUGCCGAUUUCAAAGCUGCUUUUGACAGCUCGAGCGAAAGGAGUUGCCUUUAUGCCACGAUGUCUGAAUUUGGUAUUCCUGCAAAACUAAUAGGGCUGUGUAAACUGACACUGAACAACACCAAAAGCUCCUAUGCGCUGUUGUUAACUCGGCUAUAACUGCGUAAACGGUUUCUACGAUAGUAAAGAAGAAGGCCAGGAUGGAGGAAUUUCACGCAAGUGUUCACCAAAUUCACUUGGGAGUGGCCAGAAGCGAUUAUUUUACAUAUGGCUCAAGCAGGUCACGACUUCAAGUCGUAGGUGAGCCAAAGUGGGAAGGCGAAACAUCCCCUAAUCAGGGUUGUGAGCUGGGUUUGGAACUUGCCACGCAAAAAGCCCUACCGAUGAAAAGGAAACAAGAAGAAGAAGAAGGCCAGUAUAUUCGAUUUGAUUUGUUUUUUUUAUCGGUUUCAGCACUCCAUUUCCCUGCAGGGUAUGCUCGAAUAAGUUAACAAAUAAGAGGUAAAAAUAAAACAGCCCUGCGUGGGCGCGUACAACCAACGCACUUUGAUGCCGUGAGGCAACAGGAGGCACCAUGAAAUAUUGUGGCGCAACAGCGAAGAUAAAUGAGGCAGCAGUUCGGUUUCAUUGCGUGCAAGAAAUAAAAAAAUAAGUAUUAAAUCGGAGUCGAAUUGCUUCAGUAAUUUCAGAGAGUGGGGGUAAAAGGUAUUAAAUUUUACGCAUAUAAUUUAUAUAAAAUAGAUUAAUGGUUAAUUUUUUUUUUGGAUCUUUAACAUGUCAAUCCACGGAAUGAGC
This is a long non-coding RNA of Bactrocera neohumeralis, 4828 nucleotides long. RefSeq lists it as uncharacterized. Lineage: Eukaryota; Metazoa; Arthropoda; Insecta; Diptera; Tephritidae. The record is from RefSeq and is a predicted model, not a curated record. The transcript has 5 exons.